RNAcentral lists this ribosomal RNA (250 nucleotides) under uncultured bacterium. RNAcentral describes it as "partial 16S ribosomal RNA". It matches the Rfam family "Bacterial small subunit ribosomal RNA", at positions 515 to 764 of the family's 1533-position model. The record is from RNAcentral.
CCGCGGUAAUACGGAGGGUGCAAGCGUUAUCCGGAUUCACUGGGUUUAAAGGGUGCGUAGGUGGGUUGGUAAGUCAGUGGUGAAAUCUCCGAGCUUAACUUGGAAACUGCCAUUGAUACUAUCAGUCUUGAAUAUUGUGGAGGUCAGCGGAAUAUGUCAUGUAGCGGUGAAAUGCUUAGAUAUGACAUAGAACACCAAUUGCGAAGGCAGCUGGCUACGCAUAUAUUGACACUGAGGCACGAAAGCGUGG